AUCUCCUAGUCAGCCGUUAGCGACAGGCGAAGAAACGCAAGGCUGCCGCCAUCCGGUCGUGAUCAUAACCGAGGCCUUGUCUGCAGAGUAACACACCAGGCCCAAACCCACCGCCCUCGGCAGCCGCCCCACGCGGGCCCUUCCUCGGCAGACUUCCCAACCUCUACUUGAGCCGCAGAGGAAAGUGAGACCCCCUAGGCUCUCCUGAAGCCAGCUCUGGGCCCCUCCCCAAGGAUGCUUUGGGAAGGAGAUAAGGAGGUGAGAUAGAAUCUGGCAGAGACGGAAGAUGAAAAAAAGACCAACGGAAGAAAAGAAAGCAGGAAGGAGCAAAGGAAAGAAGAAAAAAAGAAAGAAGAGAUAAAAGAGGAAGGGAAGACAGGGAAAAGAAGGAAGAAAAGAGAGGCGACUCCUAGCAGCGGCCGAGCUUACAGAGAGAAGGGUAAGUGACAAGGCCAGGAUCCCAGCCUGCCCUAUCCUUCCUAGUCCAGCCUGAGUCUCCACUGGAAGGAGGUUCUUUCCUGAGCUCACACCCGGGACUGGUGUGUGUGUGUGUGUGUGUGUGUGUGUGUGUGUGUGUGUUCCAGCCUUACAAGAGAAUGGCAGGAGGUCUAAAGCUGGGAUAUCUUACAGAGGAAGGAAAAAUUAACCUUUUUUACUUUCUUUCUCACUUUUUAAAUCAGCCAAAGUCAAGCCCGUUUGCCAACCUGCAUGUCCAUGCCUGUAAGCCCUUCUCUUGGCCAAGGAAGAAAGGAAGAAAGAAAAAAGAAACCCAGGGGCCUGUAUCCCCUGAUUAAACACAGCACAGCACUCCAGGCAGACAUGCCCGGUGGCGGCUCCUUUGCACCAUUGACCUCAGGCCAGACACCUCAGCGCCAACAAUGGGACCUCGGCCUUCCGGCUAGGUUUGCCCCAGGCUGGGCAGGAAACCAGCUCGGCCGAAGACAGGGGCCAUUUCGAGCAGUGGGACCCCAAGACAGCAAACCCAGCCCAGUCAGGACUUGACACUUAGGACAAUAUCUAUCUCUAUAGAAUUUUAGCAUGAUAUGGCUUUUUCCCCCAGAAAACAACAAAUAAACCAGCACCAAGCAAACACAAAGAAACAAAAAGUCAGAACAAACCAGCCCUGCACAGAUGUAACGGCCCAGGAGAUGGCGAGUGUGGGAGGGAGGAACAGGGCUCCAGCACAGGUGCGAGUUCCUGGGCAGAGCCUGAAGACAGAGGGAGGGGACCAGCGCUCGGGAAGUGAAAAAACCGCGUCGCCUGGAGAUUCAUCAGGAAAAAUUAAAGUUGGCUGUGAGCUCCCGGAUCCGGUUUUCUCGAUUCAUUUUCUUCAGUUUCAUCCUGCGGUUCUGAAACCAGAUUUUCACUUGUCUGUCCGUGAGGUGGACGCUGCGGCUAAUCUCUAGGCGCCGCUCUCGAGUAAGGUACAUAUUGAACAGAAACUCCUUCUCCAGCUCCAGUGUCUGGUGCUUCGUGUAGGGGCAGCGCUUCUUCCGACCACUCUUUGCCGUGAGCCAGUUGGCUGCGUUUUCACCUUUGGAAUUGCCUGGCAUGUAAGAGAAUAAAGAGGGGAUGAUUAAGUCGAGGCCACACGGGCUGCCCGCGGGGGUGAAUUGCCUCCGUUUCUCCCAUAAGAGAGAUGUCCCAAGUCACAGAGAAGAGAGUCGUGCCCCCGUUUUUGGCUUGCUGAGAGCAAGCAGUUCCUCCAAAAGUCAUGACAAAAAUUGAGUGGGCCUUCAAUCUACAUGACCCUUCCAAUUUACAUUUCCCCCACUUUUCCAAACACCUGUUUUAGCGCUAAGCCGUAGAUGCUUGCAGAAGGAAAGGCCUGGGAGGGCAGGCUGUACAUCUUGAACUUAACGCUUUUCUUUGCCUCUUGCCAUAUGGCAGACAAGCAUUUCCUGUAGCCCCCAGGCUAGGAGCGCGGGGUGCUUACUUGGAAGAUGGGCCAGGCAGCUUGGCUGUCUCACCCCAGGGCCCUGAUUGCCCAAGACUCGAUAAGGGGAGAAAGAAGGGCAUCAUUGGUCCAAUGGGGAAGGCAGGAAAAACCGAUUCGGGGGUCAAGGGCCCUCCCUCAAGUUUCUCCAGGAGCCAGGGAUAGAUAGCUGGGCGAUUCCGAGGUCCAGGGGAAGGGAAAUGGCCCUUCUCUGGCUCUCAGCUCAGGGCCCCCCGCUUCCAGGCCGGAUUUGCCUUUUCUUCUUCCCGCAACGAAGAUUCCCGCCCCUCAGCAACUUUGAAAAAAGCAUGGGGGAUCGUAAACUCGAACUUCGCCGGUUAAUGGGCUUAUUUAUUGGCGCUGGCGGCUGCUUAUUUUGGAUGCCUUACAAACAUCCGCGCUAUCUGCGGGCGAGCUACUUUCCCUCCCUCCCCCUCCCCCCGCGUGGGCCGCGCCGCGCAGGCUGGGCAGGGACCAGGGCUCUGGGUCCUCCCGGCCACAGGAAAGAGCGCACAGGAGGGGGCCUGCUCGCUGGUGUCCUCGUCCCUAGUCAGGGGGAGCUGAGGCCAGCGCCGAGGACGUCUUGCUGUGGGGCGCUAAGCCGGACAUGAAUUUUACUGCGUCCCCACGCCCAAAUAUUAAAAAGCAAGUUCACAAGGUCAGCCUGCCUGCAGCUUGGGCCAAGGCCGGCCGGCUGCUGCGCGGGCUCCUAGUUUUCUGAUCCUUCUCCUCCUUGUGUCUGCCUGUCUGCCCGCCUGACUGCAGCCCUCUGCAGCCCUGCUUACCCAGGGAAUCCUUCUCCGGCGAGGCUUUGCUGCUCUCGGAAGGGGCCGGGGAGAGCUCCUCCGCGGCCGAGGACGACGCGUGCGCCUCCUCGUCGCCCUGCGAGCCCCCGCCGCUGCCGCAAGCCAGCGUGGGGGGCGGCGGCGAAUCGAGGGCUCGCUCCUUCCGGGCCGCAUCGGCCGAGCCGGAGGCUAGCGCGGGCGGGAGAUCGAAACCGCGCCCCGGGGGCUGCGCGGGGAACGGGCCAGCCCCGAGUUGCUGCGCGCCGCCGCCGCCGCUGCCAUAGCCCUUGGCGGUGCCGUAGGCCUGAGAAAGGCGGAAGUAGCCAGGCACUGGCACCCCGCUGGAGGUGCCCAGGGCGCAGCCGUCGGGCGGCGGGCCCCGCGGGAAGGGAGCCAGUUCGGCGGCGGUGGCCGAGACUUUGGGGCAUUUGUCCGC
This 3157-nucleotide long non-coding RNA is filed under the name Homo sapiens (human). RNAcentral describes it as "long non-coding RNA NONHSAT211843.1". Lineage: Eukaryota; Metazoa; Chordata; Mammalia; Primates; Hominidae. The record is from RNAcentral.